UAUAAAAAGUGCAGGAAAGAGCAGAAGUCACUUCGCGAGCGGAUCCACGUUAUAUGAACUAAUCCAGGAGGGAAGCGAUACGCUGCCAUCACUUCUCUUUUAUUGCUGCGAUUUCUCAAAAUCAGACCUCCUUUUGCUUAUGCAUGAUGGAGAUGAAGCCAUGGCCUGUUUGGUUCGUACUGAUGUUCAGCAGACUUAUCCAAGCAUCAGUCACUCAUAAAGACUUCUUCACAUCCACUGGCCAAAUGACGGAUCUUUUAUACACGGAGAAGGAUCUUGUGACGUCGCUAAAAGAUUAUGUUCAGGCUGAGGAGAACAAACUGGAGAAGAUCAAACGGUGGGCGAUCAAGCUUGACUCUCUGUCCUCCGCGGCCACGCAAGAUCCUGAAGGCUUUCUGGGACACCCUGUCAAUGCCUUUAAGCUGAUGAAGAGGCUCAACACGGAGUGGGCAGAGCUGGAGAGCCUAGUGCUUAAGGAUGUUACUCAUGGUUUUAUCUCUAACCUGACCAUCCAGCGGCAGUACUUCCCCAGUGAUGAGGACCAGACUGGUGCAGCCAAGGCCCUCCUAAGGCUGCAGGACACCUACCAGCUGGACACCAACACCAUCUCAACAGGGAAUUUGCCUGGAGUGACCCACAAGAGCAGUAUGACAGUAGAGGACUGUUUUGAACUGGGAAAAAUUGCCUAUUCAGAGGCGGACUACUAUCACACAGAACUUUGGAUGGCCCAGGCGCUCAGGCAACUGGACCAGGGUGAGGAGUCUACUAUCGACAAGGUGGAUGUGCUGGAUUAUCUCAGCUAUGCCAUCUACCAGCAGGGGGAGCUGGAGAGGGCCCUUGAGCUCACCAAGAGGCUGCUCAAAAUAGAUCCUGAGCACCAGCGUGCCAACAGUAACUUGAAGUACUUUGAAUACCAGCUGGAGAAACAGAAACGGGCAGAGGCCAAGGAGGAGAGCAACGGGCAGGAGAAAAGAGAUUCGGCUAAAAAGAGCAGGUCCAUAGCCCCUCUCCCAGAGAGGAAGAAGUACGAGCAGCUGUGUCGUGGAGAGGGUGUCAGAUUGACACCUCGCAGGCAAAGCCGCCUCUUCUGUCGUUACUUUGACAACAACCGGAAGCCGCUCUACCUGAUUGGGCCAGUGAAGCAGGAGGACGAAUGGGAUCGCCCGCGCAUCGUCCGCUACCAUGACAUCAUCUCUGACAGCGAAAUGAAGAAGGUCAUGGAGCUGGCAAAGCCAAGGCUACGCAGGGCCACCAUCUCCAACCCAAUCACUGGUGUUCUGGAGACUGCCCACUACAGGAUCAGCAAGAGUGCCUGGCUGACUGGCUAUGAGGACCCAGUGAUCACAAAGAUUAACCAGCGAAUUGAGGCCAUCACAGGCCUUGAUGUGGAAACUGCAGAGGAACUGCAGGUUGCAAAUUAUGGUGUUGGUGGGCAAUAUGAACCACACUUUGAUUUUGGUCGGAAAGAUGAGCCAGAUGCCUUUAAGGAGCUGGGGACUGGGAAUCGCAUCGCUACCUGGCUUUUUUUAGAUGAGCGACGUAAUGGCUGGAGGCGCCACAGUCUUCCCCGAUGUGGGGGCUGCAGUGUGGCCAAAGAAGGGUACCGCGGUAUUCUGGUAUAAUCUGUUCGCCAGCGGGGAAGGAGACUACAGCACGCGACAUGCAGCCUGUCCUGUGCUUGUAGGCAACAAAUGGGUAUCCAAUAAAUGGAUUCAUGAGCGUGGCCAGGAGUUCAGACGACCAUGUGGUCUAAGUGAAGCGGAAUGAUAAGCGAUUCCUGAGGCGAUUCCCACCCCUUCCUCACAGUACCCAGGACACUAGCUCCUUUUUUCCACUCCGCAGAGACAUGAUGUGAAGCUGCCUUCCCAAAUUCCCUCCCUGUCUGCGAGCAGAAUCAGCCCUCUGGUCCUUAGCCUAUCCUGUCUACUCUUUUGCUGCUAAGAACUUUAUAAAUGUGGAUUCUGCCUUGGCAGCCUCUUUGCAUUUGGGGUUAUGUUUGUCUACACUGAUUUUUACCGGCUGCCUAAAAGACUACGUACGGUGGUGUGUAUUGAGCCUUAUUAUCUUCCCAGUGAUGCAGCACAAUCUGGAGGAGAGACGAUCACUUCCACUUGCAUAAGGCCCAAAUCCUGCCAACAUUUUUCAGUCUUCCUAUGCACCUCUCCCACAGAUGGCCCUGCUUUCAAGGGCUUAUAGGUUUUAGGACUCAUGAUGCAAUGUUCUCCCAGGGAAUAACACUGCAAAUUAUAUAAUAACAUGCACAGUUUUUUUUUUUAACUUUGCUGUACAAAUUCAAAGCUUGUUAGCACAUUUUGAAUUUCAGAGAUUGAUUAGAAUACCAAUACUUUUAAUCCCCAUGCAGAAAUUCUCUCUAUUUUUUUUUUUUGCCCCAUCUUGUUCUCCGUACAGGUGAGAGCAAGCUUAGGGGUCACAGCAAGGGGGGGCAGCCUGGUGGUGCCCAGGGAGUUGGGGGUUACUGGCCUUGAUUAGGGGCCCACAGACAUGUGGCAAUUCUGCCAAAGUUGGGCUCAAACAGACGGAGGCUUAGCUCACUGAGCAACUCAUUGCCCCCCAAAGUAGUCUGUCAAAAACAUUAAAACAGUUCUUUCAGAAAGUGUUUCUUUACUGGACCAUUCAACUGACUAUGUUGUAAAAAUCUGCAUAUUUAUGCAUUUUUUAGCAAUAAUUCCAAAAGGAUUUUUCAUUGUGUUUCACUACUUUAGUUACCCACAAAUCCAGUAUUGUUACUUCUUAGUAAAAAGUCAUGAAAAGUUAUCAAAAGAUUAUCUGAAACACACCUUCCAUUUCAUAUACCCAUACUGAUUUUGGGGCUCUUCAUCAUCUGGAAUUUCCUGGGAUCUCUGUGGGAGAAAGAUUCUAUUUAUAUAUUGUGAGAUUCUGUCAUUUAAUUUGUUUGCAUAUCGCUGGACAUGUUAAAUGAGUGUUUUCUAUAAAAUAAAUAACAUGUGCUCAUGA
Molecule: non-coding RNA, 2976 nt
Organism: Paramormyrops kingsleyae
Lineage: Eukaryota; Metazoa; Chordata; Actinopteri; Osteoglossiformes; Mormyridae
Source: RefSeq, a predicted model, not a curated record